CCCAGACUCCUACGGGAGGCAGCAGUGGGGAAUAUUGCACAAUGGGGGGAACCCUGAUGCAGCAAUGCCGCGUGGGUGAAGAAGCACUCCGGUGCGUAAAGCCCUGUCAGCAGGGAAGAAAAUGACAGUACCUGGACAAGAAGCCCCGGCUAACUCCGUGCCAGCAGCCGCGGUAAUACGGAGGAUGCGAGCGUUAUCCGGAUUUAUUGGGUUUAAAGGGUGCGCAGGCGGAUUUUUAAGUCAGCGGUCAAAUCGUGGGGCUCAACCCCAUCCAGCCGUUGAAACUGGGGAUCUAGAGUGUGCGAGAGGUAUGCGGAAUGCGUGGUGUAGCGGUGAAAUGCAUAGAUAUCACGCAGAACCCCGAUUGCGAAGGCAGCAUACCGGUGCACAACUGACGCUCAGGCACGAAAGCGUGGGUAUCGAACAGGAUUAGAUACCCUCGUAA
Molecule: ribosomal RNA, 445 nt
Filed under: uncultured bacterium
Lineage: Bacteria
Description: bacterial SSU rRNA
Rfam family: Bacterial small subunit ribosomal RNA
Source: RNAcentral